GAUGAACGCUGGCGGCGUGCCUAAUACAUGCAAGUCGAGCGAACGGACGAGAAGCUUGCUUCUCUGAUGUUAGCGGCGGACGGGUGAGUAACACGUGGAUAACCUACCCAUAAGACUGGGAUAACUUCGGGAAACCGGAGCUAAUACCGGAUGAUAUUUUGAACCGCAUGGUUCAAAAGUGAAAGACGGUCUUGCUGUCACUUAUAGAUGGAUCCGCGCUGCAUUAGCUAGUUGGUAAGGUAACGGCUUACCAAGGCAACGAUGCAUAGCCGACCUGAGAGGGUGAUCGGCCACACUGGAACUGAGACACGGUCCAGACUCCUACGGGAGGCAGCAGUAGGGAAUCUUCCGCAAUGGGCGAAAGCCUGACGGAGCAACGCCGCGUGAGUGAUGAAGGUCUUCGGAUCGUAAAACUCUGUUAUUAGGGAAGAACAUAUGUGUAAGUAACUGUGCACAUCUUGACGGUACCUAAUCAGAAAGCCACGGCUAACUACGUGCCCACAGCCGCGGUAAUACGUAGGUGGCAAGCGGUAUCCGGGAAUUAUUGGGCGUAAAGCGCGCGUAGGCGGUUUUUUAGUCUGAUGUGAAAGCCCACGGCUCAACCGUGGAGGGUCAUUGGAAACUGGAAAACUUGAGUGCAGAAGAGGAAAGUGGAAUUCCAUGUGUAGCGGUGAAAUGCGCAGAGAUAUGGAGGAACACCAGUGGCGAAGGCGACUUUCUGGUCUGUAACUGACGCUGAUGUGCGAAAGCGUGGGGAUCAAACAGGAUUAGACACCCUGGUAGUCCACGCCGUAAACGAUGAGUGCUAAGUGUUAGGGGGUUUCCGCCCCUUAGUGCUGCAGCUAACGCAUUAAGCACUCCGCCUGGGGAGUGCGACCGCAAGGUUGAAACUCAAAGGAAUUGACGGGGACCCGCACAAGCGGUGGAGCAUGUGGUUUAAUUCGAAGCAACGCGAAGAACCUUACCAAAUCUUGACAUCCUUUGACAACUCUAGAGAUAGAGCCUUCCCCUUCGGGGGACAAAGUGACAGGUGGUGCAUGGUUGUCGUCAGCUCGUGUCGUGAGAUGUUGGGUUAAGUCCCGCAACGAGCGCAACCCUUAAGCUUAGUUGCCAUCAUUAAGUUGGGCACUCUAAGUUGACUGCCGGUGACAAACCGGAGGAAGGUGGGGAUGACGUCAAAUCAUCAUGCCCCUUAUGAUUUGGGCUACACACGUGCUACAAUGGACAAUACAAAGGGCAGCGAAACCGCGAGGUCAAGCAAAUCCCAUAAAGUUGUUCUCAGUUCGGAUUGUAGUCUGCAACUCGACUACAUGAAGCUGGAAUCGCUAGUAAUCGUAGAUCAGCAUGCUACGGUGAAUACGUUCCCGGGUCU
RNAcentral lists this ribosomal RNA (1372 nucleotides) under uncultured bacterium. RNAcentral describes it as "bacterial SSU rRNA". It matches the Rfam family "Bacterial small subunit ribosomal RNA", at positions 28 to 1381 of the family's 1533-position model. The record is from RNAcentral.